RNAcentral lists this ribosomal RNA (486 nucleotides) under uncultured bacterium. RNAcentral's name for it is "bacterial SSU rRNA". It matches the Rfam family "Bacterial small subunit ribosomal RNA", at positions 29 to 507 of the family's 1533-position model. The record is from RNAcentral.
AUGAACGCUAGCGGCAGGCUUAACACAUGCAAGUCGAGGGGCAACACGGGUAGCAAUACCUGGUGGCGACCGGCGCAAGGGUGCGUAACGCGUGAGCAACAUACCCUAUACAGGGGGAUAAUCCAGGGAAACUUGGUCUAAUAUCCCAUAGGAUUUACAGAUGUCAUCAUCUAUAAAUUAAAGCUUCGGUGGUAUAGGAUUGGCUCGCGUGACAUUAGCUAGAUGGGUGGGGUAACGGCCUACCAUGGCCAUGAUGUCGUAGGGGUUCUGAGAGGAACGACCCCCCACACUGGGACUGAGACACGGCCCAGACUCCUACGGGAGGCAGCAGUGAGGAAUAUUGGACAAUGGAUGGAAAUCUGAUCCAGCCAUGCCGCGUGCAGGAAGACGGCCCUAUGGGUUGUAAACUGCUUUUAUAUGGGAGCAAUAAGGUCUACGCGUAGACCGAUGAGAGUACCAUAUGAAUAAGCAUCGGCUAACUCCGUG